GCUGCAUGUACCUCUUAGCGAGAUUGACAUAGAAAAACAAGGGUUUCUUGGUGUUGGAGACCUGAAUCCGAUUCUUCUUAUACGAAUCGGAACUCAAGUUCAUGGAGUUCACGCCUUCUACAAUUUCUUCCAUGAAGCUCUUCCUCAACCUCGCAAAAACCCUAGAAAAACUCCAACUCAAAACCCUAGCUUCUCGGGUUAUUGGAGGUCGAAGGAAGACUUAU
Molecule: unclassified non-coding RNA, 224 nt
Filed under: Hevea brasiliensis (rubber tree)
Lineage: Eukaryota; Viridiplantae; Streptophyta; Magnoliopsida; Malpighiales; Euphorbiaceae
Source: RNAcentral